RNAcentral lists this microRNA (24 nucleotides) under Amborella trichopoda. RNAcentral describes it as "atr-miR8554". Lineage: Eukaryota; Viridiplantae; Streptophyta; Magnoliopsida; Amborellales; Amborellaceae. The record is from miRBase by way of RNAcentral.
UGCGAUGACUUUGGAUCUUGAGGA